RNAcentral lists this ribosomal RNA (413 nucleotides) under uncultured bacterium. RNAcentral describes it as "bacterial SSU rRNA". It matches the Rfam family "Bacterial small subunit ribosomal RNA", at positions 917 to 1333 of the family's 1533-position model. The record is from RNAcentral.
GGGCCCGCACAAGCGGUGGAGCAUGUGGUUUAAUUCGAUGAUACGCGAGGAACCUUACCAGGGCUUAAAUGUAAGUUGCAUGAUUCAGAAAUGAAUCUUUCUUCGGACUACUUACAAGGUGCUGCAUGGUUGUCGUCAGCUCGUGCCGUGAGGUGUCAGGUUAAGUCCUAUAACGAGCGCAACCCUUGUCCUUAGUUGCCAGCACAUUAUGGUGGGAACUCUAAGGAGACUGCCGGUGCAAACCGUGAGGAAGGUGGGGAUGACGUCAAAUCAUCACGGCCCUUACGUCCUGGGCUACACACGUGCUACAAUGGUCGGUACAGAGAGCAGCCACUACGCGAGUAGGAGCGAAUCUUCAAAGCCGAUCACAGUUCGGAUCGGAGUCUGCAACUCGACUCCGUGAAGCUGGAAUC